ACCACCACUUUCCUCCUUGCUGCUGGUCGUUGGACCAUCUCUCUCAGCCGCAUCUCCCUCUUCCCCUUCCUAGAUCGACAUCCCUUCCUCUCUCGAUUAGGAUCAACACACGACGUCCUUGCUUCUUCUCUCCGUCUCCGUGUCCGUCUACCCCUUCAAUUUUGUCGUUUCCCCUCCAGAUCCCCGUCAGUAGCGAUCUAGUCUCGAGAUCAAGUUCUUAAAUUUCUGAUAUGCUGACCAAAUUCGAGACGAAGAGCAACUGGGUGAAGGGUGUGAGCUUCCACAGCAGGCGUCCCUGGGUCCUUGCAAGCUUUCACAGUGGCGUUAUCUAGCUAUGAGAUUACCGCAUGGGCACUCUCAUCGACCGCUUCGACGAGCACCGGUACUAUGUAGUCUUGAAGACCAAAUUUAACGGGCCAGACGGUCAGUAAUAAUGGGCAUUAAAAGUGAUGCGCUGUGCUUUUGUCCUCCUCCGGCCCGCGACCGUCCCUCUUCCUCCUCCGUCGCCCUCAAACACUCACAGCGCUUCUGCUCACACCGCUCGCUUUCUGCGAUGCGGCGCAAGCUCUUUCUUUCAUCCGUCCUUUGCCACUUCCAAACCCUAGCCGCUCCUCCUACCAACGUCUCCGGCAACCGCCCAUACUCCACAACCUUAUUUAUUAGUCGAUUCGGUUCCCACGACCGCGAUUUAUGGUCUAAGUUCUACUCCUCGGUAGCUUCCCAAUCUCGCUUCUUCCAAGAUGAGAAGUAGGGUUACUUCCCUUCGAGAUACUCCGAGGACGUGAAGAAAGGAAGAUUGGUCCCCGUUAAUGCCUAUUUUCUAUCUACCAUGUCUAUUUCUCGAUUCAGUAUGUACGUUUGGCUCUCUGUUUCUUGUUUGCUAUCAUUGCUGCAUGGAUUAUUCGGUUUCUUGAUCCAAAUUGUAGUGUUGAUUUGAAAAGCUUGAGGGCGCAGAAUGCGUUCAAUCUCAUUUCUCUGGCUUCUCGUGUCAGUGACUGUGUCAUUCUUAGAUUCUACGACAAUAACUUCAAGUUCGAGAGUGAUCCUCAGGAGAUGACUAUAAGAUUAAGGUCUGGAAUUAUAAGACACCGGUGCUUCUCCUUGGUCAUCUUGAUUACAGUCGCACUAUGCAGUUCCAUGAUGAACAUCCAUGGAUUGUUAGCGCAAGUGACGACCAAACUAUUAGGAUAUGGAAUUGGCAAUCUCAGACCUGCAUUUCUGUAUUGACAAGGCACAACCACUAUGUGAUGUGUGCCUCAUUUUAUCCAUCAUCGCUACUAAAGUCCUUCCUCAUCUUCGAUAGUUUCAUCUUCUUGAUCUCUUGAUUGCAAGUAUUAAUUGAUUGAUGCAUGCAAUGUGUUUGAUGAAUUUCCUCAAACACUAUCCUGAGUUGAUUUUAUCAUUUUUGUUUGCUAGAUUGAGGAGUUGUUAUAAAUUUACCUCUUUUUGUUGUUGUUGUUUCUACAGGAUUUGUGUGUUGGGCUUCUUAGACGCACUACAUAUACAACUUAAAGGCUUUGAUCAUUAAGUGAGUAUUUUCUUUUGACCUUCUUGUUAAAUCAAUUCAUGACCAAGUUAAUUAUGAUUUUGUGAAUUUUUGAAUCCAUCUGAAUAGUUCCUAAUACGGUUUAGGGUUUAGGUGAUGAUUCAUGAAUGACUCAUAGUUUAUUUAUUGGUAUAAUGAUGAAGUGCAAAUUUUGUUUGUCAUACUAAGUUAAUUGUUGCUGAAGGAGGAAAGUAGGAAACAACUCUCUGUCACAGGGUUAAGCUUAUUCAGAAAAAUAUCCCAGUUAUGCUUAGGACUCUUGGUCAGAUGGCUAUUGUUAAUCCAAUAUUUACUCAUGGUCAGCUACCUCUAUGGGUGAAAUAUGUUGACCCAUUACUACACUCAUCAAUUGUUAGAGAUGCAGCAUUUGAACAGUAGAUAAAUUCAUCUGUACACUUGAAUGGAUUAUCAUUAUGGAGGGUCACUCAAGGCACACUUGGAUUAGGACUUGAAAUUGAUGAAGUGCGGUUCGAGUGGGCUGAAUGCAUGCUAGAUUACAUUUGAGUAGGAAAGAUUAGAACAGUGGAUGUUUUAACUCAGAAAACUAGGCAUUUGAAGGUGAAAAGCGGUGAG
This is a long non-coding RNA of Zingiber officinale, 2119 nucleotides long. RefSeq lists it as uncharacterized. The record is from RefSeq and is a predicted model, not a curated record. The transcript has 5 exons. NCBI's taxonomy places the organism in Eukaryota, Viridiplantae, Streptophyta, Magnoliopsida, Zingiberales, Zingiberaceae.